Molecule: long non-coding RNA, 1357 nt
Filed under: Equus caballus (horse)
Lineage: Eukaryota; Metazoa; Chordata; Mammalia; Perissodactyla; Equidae
Description: lncRNA (ENSECAG00000038969.3)
Source: RNAcentral
UGUGUUAGUACAAUAAAUAAAUGCAUGUUGCGUCUUGCAAUCUUCUGGGAAGGAAUUUAAUACCAAGCUAUGUCAUGGAAAGGAAGACAGGAGUUAAGAAAUACAGAGAAAGGGACAAUUCUUCUUCCCUAUCGGGUGGCUCCAGUGAUUGCUAAAUGAGCGUGUUUGCGAGGAGGUGGCUAUCAAUCAAGGUAUACAGUCUGCAUGUCUCAAUUCUAACUUAGCUUCCUGCCCUUCCUCAAAUGUUCUUCUGCCAUCAAGGCAUGGCCAACGCCCAGCCAGACACCUGAGUCAUGUUUGCCUCCUCCCUCUUGCUUUCCUCUGUCCCUGAAUCUGUUUGGUUGCUAAAUCCUCUCAAUUUCCCCUCUGGAAGGCCUCUGCCUUUGCCCUCCCUCUGGGCUGGAUUAGCUAAUAACAUCGAAGCUGCCACUACCCAAGAAGCUCAGACUCCUUUUCCUGGUCUUCCCACCUUUCACAUAGGCUCCUUCUGGCUUCUGGUCACCUUCUCCACUGUCACCCUCCGCGCCGCACGGCGAAGAUCCUGCUCACCCGCCAGGACCUCAGCCCGGAGCGGGUCCCGCCGUCUGCCCCUCGGAAGCCUGGGCGCUCCAGGAUGUGGGCCCCAACGCAGACGGAAGUGCCGGCAGCUCGAGGGGCGGGGCAGGGGGCGGGGCCUGGCCCGGCUGGCCAAUGGAAGCGCUGAGCCCAGAGUCAGAGGUCACAUGUGCAGUGGGCGGGAAUUUUCUCCUGAGAAGACCGGUAGGAGGCGGUUUUCCCUCUGCCUGUACCCUGAGAGGCUGGAGAGACGAGGGAGGGAAGGUGUUUUUAGACUGAGGGGAAGAAAGGAUCGACGUGGGGCUAGAGUAUGGCAGCUCCGAAAUCUCUGGAAAACAGAUUUGUGAGGCGUGGCUGAUGUGACCCUGUGGGGACAAGGCCCCAGAACGGGUGUCCACCUAACCUAAUUAGGCGAGAACAGAGGGUGUGAAGGACACGGAAGAUAGCGGUCAAGAGGUAGCACAGGAGAAAUAAAAUCAUUACAAACAGGUGUUGAAAUUUGUACUGCUUGCAAAGAAAGAAGCUAUGUUUUCAACAUUCAAAUAUUGUGCAAUAGAUUAUUUAUAUGAGAAUGUAAUUAGGAAGAAGUUUUCUAGAGAUGCUUUCUUGCUUCGAAUCCCUUCAUGUUUAUAUCAAGAUGGAGAUUAUCUUACAGGAGUUAUUGAUAGUGCAUUUAGGAGGCCAUGGACAAGAGGUACCAGGAAGGUACACUAGAGCUGGCUGAGAGCAGACUGAUGGUGAAUAAAAGGAGACCUUUAGCCCCCUCCCUUUGGGUUAGUCACACCUAAAAGACACGUGGGAG